RNAcentral lists this long non-coding RNA (728 nucleotides) under Ananas comosus (pineapple). RNAcentral's name for it is "long non-coding RNA (ACOM_LNC015239)". Lineage: Eukaryota; Viridiplantae; Streptophyta; Magnoliopsida; Poales; Bromeliaceae. The record is from RNAcentral.
UGUUUGAAGUACCUAGAAAAUAAAUUUUGUGAUUUUUCGAUAUCGUUUGCCUAGUGAUCGAAGGGACUCAAAAUCAAUAAUUUUAAUGGCCGUGGUGAGCUGUUUGCAUGUUUAACGGAGUAGAAAUAUUCAAAUCAUGUAAAAUUUUGAUAGAAAAAUUUUUAUACUAUAUAAAAUAAGAUCAAUAUCUUUGAUAUAAAAUUUUAAUGUCAUAUAAUCAUAUUUUCUAAGAUUUUUAUUUUCAGCCGUUGAUUUUGAGCCCUUUCGAUCACUAGGCAUAUGAUAUCGAAAAAUCGCAAAAUUUAUUUUCUAAGUACUGCAAAUAUUUUAGAUUAAGUCGAGCCUAUUGUCGAUUCGAAAAUCCCAAUAUCGAAAACAACUUGAAAUCACGGAAGGCUCCAUGGAUCCAGAAGCAUACUAGCCUCACACACACACACACUCUCUCUCUCUUUUUCUUUUUCUCUCUCUCUCUUUCUCUCUCUCUCUCUCUCUCUCUCUAUAUAUAUAUAUAUAACUAAGCUAUAGGCUAUUAUACUAUUAAUAGCACCAACUAAUGGGUGCUAUGAGGUUUUCGGCCCUUAGAUUAAGGGAUGUACGGUUAGGACAAUAGUGGUCCCCUAGGGUUGAGUGGGUGGUUGGUUAAAUAAUAUGAUUUAACAAGUGAAAAUAGUCAAAAUGGUAGAUCUAACGGUGAUUAGGUAAAUCUUUUUUCGGUACAGCCUCCUAUG